Molecule: ribosomal RNA, 500 nt
Filed under: uncultured Sphingobacteriales bacterium
Lineage: Bacteria; Pseudomonadati; Bacteroidota; Sphingobacteriia; Sphingobacteriales
Description: bacterial SSU rRNA
Rfam family: Bacterial small subunit ribosomal RNA
Source: RNAcentral
UUGCCAGCCCGCUCAGAACUUAAAGGAAUUGACGGGGGCCCGCACAAGCGGAGGAGCAUGUGGUUUAAUUCGAUGAUACGCGAGGAACCUUACCUGGGCUCGAACGUAAGAUGACUGUAGGUGAAAAGCUUACAUCUCUUCGGAGCAUUUUACGAGGUGCUGCAUGGUUGUCGUCAGCUCGUGCCGUGAGGUGUCGGGUUAAGUCCCAUAACGAGCGCAACCCCUACCUUUAGUUGCCAUCAGGUAAUGCUGGGGACUCUAAAGGAACUGCCUACGCAAGUAGUGAGGAAGGCGGGGAUGACGUCAAAUCAGCACGGCCCUUACGUCCAGGGCUACACACGUGCUACAAUGGCCGAUACAGAGGGCAGCUACCUGGUGACAGGAUGCAAAUCUCCAAAGUCGGCUCAGUUCGGAUCGGAGUCUGCAACCCGACUCCGUGAAGUUGGAUUCGCUAGUAAUCGCGCAUCAGCCAUGGCGCGGUGAAUACGUUCCCGGGCCUU